AGAGUUUGAUCCUGGCUCAGAUUGAACGCUGGCGGCAUGCCUUACACAUGCAAGUCGAACGCGAAAGGGGGCAACCCCGAGUAGAGUGGCGAACGGGUGAGUAAUGCAUCGGAACAUUUCCUGUAGCGGGGGACAACCUCGAGAAAUCGAGGCUAAUACCGCAUACGAUCUACGGAUGAAAGUGGGGGACCGCAAGGCCUCACACUAUAGGAGUGGCCGAUGCCGGAUUAGCUAGUUGGCGGGGUAAAAGCCCACCAAGGCGACGAUCCGUAGCUGGUCUGAGAGGACGACCAGCCACACUGGGACUGAGACACGGCCCAGACUCCUACGGGAGGCAGCAGUGGGGAAUUUUGGACAAUGGGCGCAAGCCUGAUCCAGCCAUGCCGCGUGAGUGAAGAAGGCCUUCGGGUUGUAAAGCUCUUUCGGCCGGGACGAAAUCGCGCGGGCGAAUAUCCCGCGUGGAUGACGGUACCGGAAGAAGAAGGACCGGCUAACUACGUGCCAGCAGCCGCGGUAAUACGUAGGGUCCGAGCGUUAAUCGGAAUUACUGGGCGUAAAGCGUGCGCAGGCGGUUCGCAAAGACAGGUGUGAAAUCCCCGGGCUUAACCUGGGAACUGCGCUUGUAACUAGCGGGCUGGAGUGCGGCAGAGGGGGGUGGAAUUCCACGUGUAGCAGUGAAAUGCGUAGAGAUGUGGAGGAACACCGAUGGCGAAGGCAGCCCCCUGGGCUAGCACUGACGCUCAUGCACAAAAGCGUGGGGAGCAAACAGGAUUAGAUACCCCCGUAGUCC
RNAcentral lists this ribosomal RNA (790 nucleotides) under uncultured bacterium. Its description in RNAcentral is "bacterial SSU rRNA". It matches the Rfam family "Bacterial small subunit ribosomal RNA", at positions 8 to 796 of the family's 1533-position model. The record is from RNAcentral.